Molecule: long non-coding RNA, 312 nt
Organism: Lycium barbarum (goji berry)
Lineage: Eukaryota; Viridiplantae; Streptophyta; Magnoliopsida; Solanales; Solanaceae
Exons: 3
Source: RefSeq, a predicted model, not a curated record
CUUGGUAUAGUUGUUUUGGAGUGGGAAGCAUUAGAAUCACCAAAGUGAUCAUAUCUCCAAGUGAAGAAGACUUGAAGAAAAGUUUUUCGACGAAACGGGAAGUGAGUUUGGAAAGGCGUAAAGAGCUUGAAAGGUACAGACGACAGGUUCGCUGAUCCACACGUUUAGGAUCCCAUUUCUGCUAUUUUGGGGCGCUCUCUUCUUCAGAGCCCAUCUUUUGGUACAGUCUGUCACUGCUAUCUGGAUAUGUACAUUGUUCUGGGUAUGACGGGGCCCUGUCCCGUCUUAUGAUUAUGUUAUGUUCUGUAGAGG